AGAACGAACGCUGGCGGCAGGCCUCAAACAUGCAAGUCUAGGGGGUGCAGCAAUGCAUCACCGGCGGACGGGUGCGUAACACGUGGGAAUAUACCUUUUGGUUCGGAACAACUGAGGGAAACUUCAGCUAAUACCGAAUGUGUCCUUGCGGAGAAAGAUUUAUCGCCAAAAGGAUUAGCCCGCGUUCGAUUAGCUAGUUGGUAGGGUAACGGCCUACCAAGGCGACGAUCGAUAGCUGUUCUGAGAGGAAGAUCAGCCACACUGGGACUGAGACACGGCCCAGACUCCUACGGGAGGCAGCAGUUGGGAAUCUUGGACAAUGGGGGAAACCCUGAUCCAGCCAUGCCGCGUGAGUGAUGAAGGCCUUCGGGUUGUAAAACUCUUUCGACGGGACGAUAAUGACGGUACCGUAGAAGAAGCUCCGGCUAACUUCGUGCCAGCAGCCGC
RNAcentral lists this ribosomal RNA (447 nucleotides) under uncultured bacterium. RNAcentral describes it as "SSU rRNA". It matches the Rfam family "Bacterial small subunit ribosomal RNA", at positions 26 to 518 of the family's 1533-position model. The record is from RNAcentral.